AUUCCAGCUCCAAUAGCGUAUAUUAAAGUUGUUGCGGUUAAAAAGCUCGUAGUUGGAUUUCUGUUUCUGGGAUCUGGUCCGCCUCACGGUGAGCACUGGAUAACUGGGGACAUCCUCUCGAAGGCGGCGGGUGCACUUGAUUGUGUGUUUGUUGAAUUCGGGACCUUUACUUUGAAAAAAUUAGAGUGUUCAAAGCAGGCGUCGGCUUGAAUACAUUAGCAUGGAAUAAUGGAAUAGGACUUUGGUUCUAUUUUGUUGGUUUCUAGGACCGAAGUAAUGAUUAAUAGGGACAGUUGGGGGCAUUAGUAUUUAAUUGUCAGAGGUGAAAUUCUUGGAUUUAUGAAAGACUAACUACUGCGAAAGCAUUUGCCAAGGAUGUUUUCAUCG
RNAcentral lists this ribosomal RNA (387 nucleotides) under Choanoflagellata sp. RNAcentral describes it as "partial small subunit ribosomal RNA". It matches the Rfam family "Eukaryotic small subunit ribosomal RNA", at positions 582 to 975 of the family's 1831-position model. Lineage: Eukaryota; Choanoflagellata. The record is from RNAcentral.